CAGGGCAGUAAGUGGCAACGGGUGAGUAACACGUGGGUGACCUGCCUCAGAGUGGGGGAUAACGACCCGAAAGGGUCGCUAAUACCGCAUAACAUCCUGCGUUUGGAAACGCGGAGAUCAAAGCCGGGGAUCGCAAGACCUGGCGCUCAGAGAGGGGCCCGCGGCCGAUUAGCUAGUUGGUAGGGUAACGGCCUACCAAGGCAACGAUCGGUAUCCGGCCUGAGAGGGCGGACGGACACACUGGGACUGAGACACGGCCCAGACUCCUACGGGAGGCAGCAGUGGGGAAUUGUUCGCAAUGGGCGCAAGCCUGACGACGCAACGCCGCGUGGAGGAUGAAGAUCUUCGGGUCGUAAACUCCUUUCGAUCGGGAAGAACGCCUCCGGUGUGAACAACACCGGGGGGUGACGGUACCGAGAGAAGAAGCCCCGGCUAACUCCGUGCCAGCAGCCGCGGUAAUACGGGGGGGGCAAGCGUUGUUCGGAAUUACUGGGCGUAAAGGGCUCGUAGGCGGCCGACUAAGUCCGACGUGAAAUCCCCAGGCUUAACCUGGGAACUGCGUCGGAUACUGGUUGGCUUGAAUCCGGGAGAGGGAUGCGGAAUUCCAGGUGUAGCGGUGAAAUGCGUAGAUAUCUGGAGGAACACCGGUGGCGAAGGCGGCAUCCUGGACCGGCAUUGACGCUGAUGAGCGAAAGCCAGGGGAGCAAACGGGAUUAGAUACCCCGGUAGUCCUGGCCCUAAACGAUGAAUGCUUGGUGUGGCGGGUAUCGAUCCCUGCCGUGCCGAAGCUAACGCAUUAAGCAUUCCGCCUGGGGAGUA
RNAcentral lists this ribosomal RNA (819 nucleotides) under uncultured Acidobacteriota bacterium. RNAcentral describes it as "bacterial SSU rRNA". It matches the Rfam family "Bacterial small subunit ribosomal RNA", at positions 84 to 882 of the family's 1533-position model. Lineage: Bacteria; Pseudomonadati; Acidobacteriota. The record is from RNAcentral.